CCUCUUGCGUCCACAGUUAAUCCUGUUGGAUGUGGUUCGUCCUUCUUGGUGGUAUGCUGACAUUACCCUGGAUACCGUGGCUCUUGAUACAUCACAAAGACUUGCUGUCUUGGUCACAAAUGCGGCAGCAAAACGUGCACCAACGAUUUGUCCUCUUGAACUCUGGUAUGUCACCCAUAAUGUUGUGUGCAUUUCAAUAUUUUGAUCAAAACUGUGCUCUUACCCUGCUAAUUGAACCUUCACACUCUGCUCUUACUGGUGCAAUGUGCAAUCAAUGAAGACUGGCUACCAGGCUGGUCCAAUUUAGCCAUGAAACCUCCCACAUUAAAUGACAGGUGUUUCAGUUUAAUUGUCCAACUCCUGUAUAUUCUAGGCUGCUUAGGGUCCAUAUCAUCAUCCUAGUAUAUUUCACAGUCUUUUACAGCUAAACCUUUUCCUCUCUUCUCAUAUUCAUAAUAGUUAUUUUAAAAACAAAAUCUAAGGGCAGGGGUUUUUAUCUAAACAUGUAAUACAUUUAGUUUCUCAGUGGGGUACAUUCAGACAAUUCUUGCCCCUGAAUUAGAUAGGUAAAUUGUUUCUGAAAGCACGCUGGUUGUAGUUUAGGCUGCUUCCCACCGCAGUCCGUCAAACAGAGUUUGGAAUGUUGUAACAUUCAGUUCAUGCAGCUUGAACCAAGGGGCUGUGGCAGGAAAUGGCCUGGGUCCAGCUUGGCUCCGCUUCAGGCUUUUUCCUUUUGGGUUAUUGCUCCAUAGAAGUGUUUUCAUCCAUGGACAUCUGGGACCUACCAUGCCCUGGACUGACACCAUAGAUUGGUUCUUCCAUAUCUGGAUACGGGUUCUACGAGAUGUGUUCUACCAAGGGAUGUGUGACUCUCCUGGUCUUCCAUAGCCUGCAGUUAGAAUGGUUUAUUAAGAAAAACAAGUGGAGGACUUCAAGAUUUCUGCACCUGAUCAGGACGAACACUGAAGGGAGAAGGAGAGUAUUAAUA
Molecule: long non-coding RNA, 988 nt
Organism: Girardinichthys multiradiatus
Lineage: Eukaryota; Metazoa; Chordata; Actinopteri; Cyprinodontiformes; Goodeidae
Exons: 3
Source: RefSeq, a predicted model, not a curated record